Molecule: ribosomal RNA, 463 nt
Filed under: uncultured bacterium
Lineage: Bacteria
Description: partial 16S ribosomal RNA
Rfam family: Bacterial small subunit ribosomal RNA
Source: RNAcentral
GACGAACGCUGGCGGCGUGCUUAACACAUGCAAGCCGGGCGGAAAUGCCACUUCGGUGGUACUCGUGCCGCGAACGGGCGCGUCCCACCUGAUUAAUCUGCCACUGGCUUUCGGAUAUCCACCGGAAACGUUAAUUAAUACCGUCUCUGACCCAUUCUCGCAUGAGUAUGUGUGGCAAGUUUUUCGGCCAGGGAUGUGCUCGCGGGCUAUCAGGUUGAUGGUGAGGUAAUGGCUCACCAUGGCUUCGACGGGGAGCCGGCCUGCGAGGGGGACCGGUCACACUGGGACUGAGACACGGCCGAGACUCCUACGGGAGGCAGCAGUGGGGAAUGUUGGACUAUGGGCGGAAGCCUGAUCCAGCAACGCCGCGUGAGGGAUGACGGCCUUCGGGUUGUAAUCCUCUUUCAGUACCGACGAAGCGCAAGUGACGGUAGGUACAGAAGAAGCACGAGCCAACUACGUG